RNAcentral lists this long non-coding RNA (646 nucleotides) under Homo sapiens (human). Its description in RNAcentral is "long intergenic non-protein coding RNA 343". The record is from RNAcentral. Lineage: Eukaryota; Metazoa; Chordata; Mammalia; Primates; Hominidae.
GUUCUGUUUUUCCUCUUCUAAUCCUUCACCCAUCUGAGCUAAAGUCUAGACCUAAGGAGGCUACUAAUUCAGGGAUCGAGUAAUCUGCCAAGCAAGAGUUUAUUCAAGCACAGUUUGAAAUAAAGGUUUCAAAUGCAUAGCCUGUCGAUACUUUGGAAGGAUUCUCAUCAUAACGAGAUAUGGGAGGACACCUGAGACGGCAGGCCAGAAGUCACUCAGUAGGAGAAACAUCCGUUAGAAGUAAUAAUGUGGGAUUGCUGAAGUAAAGACUAUAGGAAGAAAAAAGUGUCUGUGUGUAGGAAACGGAAAGGGAGAGAAAAAUACACUGAGAUGGUAAAGUAAGGAAGUGGAAGAUCAGCAGAAUGUGCAGAUGCCAAGCCAUCCAAGAAAAUCAUCUCUUGUGAUUGUUGCGAAGUCAACUAGCUAAUGUGACUCACUGCUAGGCUGUUGGAUCUGAGACUUAUGUGGGAUAAUUUAGAAACUUGCUAGUGUCUUAAGAUCAAUUACUCACCAAUGAGAGUGGCAUUGAACUGUGAAUGUUCCUCCUAGAUUUUCCAUGAAGACUAAUGGUUUUGUCUUGUCUUGAAUUUGUUUUAAUUACAAUUUGUAUACAUCCUGUUCCACCCUGAAAUUUUUAUUUUCCAAA